Molecule: ribosomal RNA, 53 nt
Filed under: Oesophagostomum sp. MOS-2014
Lineage: Eukaryota; Metazoa; Nematoda; Chromadorea; Rhabditida; Strongylidae
Description: partial 28S ribossomal RNA
Source: RNAcentral
UGCAACCUGAGCUCAGUCGUGAUUACCCGCUGAACUUAAGCAUAUCAUUAGCG